This 308-nucleotide ribosomal RNA is filed under the name uncultured archaeon. Its description in RNAcentral is "bacterial SSU rRNA". It matches the Rfam family "Archaeal small subunit ribosomal RNA", at positions 526 to 834 of the family's 1478-position model. The record is from RNAcentral.
UUGAUUUUCAAGUUUCUAGUGAAACUUAGUAGCCUAACUAUUAAGCGUGCUAGAAAUACUGAUUAUCUAGAGACCGGGAGGAGUCAGGAGUAUUCCAGGGGUAGCGGUAAAAUGUUAUAAUCCCUGGAAGACUAUCAGUGGCGAAGGCGCCUGACUAGAACGGGUCUGACGGUGAGGGAUGAAAGCUAGGGGAGCAAACAGGAUUAGAUACCCUGGUAGUCCUAGCUGUAAACGCUGCUCGCUUGGAGUUGCGUCUUCUUCGGAAUGCGCAGCACCGUAGUGAAAACGUUAAGCGAGCCGCCUGGGAA